RNAcentral lists this ribosomal RNA (400 nucleotides) under uncultured bacterium. RNAcentral's name for it is "bacterial SSU rRNA". It matches the Rfam family "Bacterial small subunit ribosomal RNA", at positions 355 to 772 of the family's 1533-position model. The record is from RNAcentral.
UGGGGAAUAUUGGACAAUGGGCGCAAGCCUGAUCCAGCCAUGCCGCGUGAAUGAUGAAGGCCUUAGGGUUGUAAAGUUCUUUCGGCGGGGACGAUGAUGACGGUACCCGCAGAAGAAGCCCCGGCUAACUUCGUGCCAGCAGCCGCGGUAAUACGAAGGGGGCUAGCGUUGUUCGGAAUUACUGGGCGUAAAGCGCACGCAGGCGGCCUGUUUAGUUAGAAGUGAAAGCCCGGGGCUCAACCCCGGAACUGCUUUUAAUACUGGCAGGCUAGAAUCCGUGAGAGGGUAGUGGAAUUCCGAGUGUAGAGGUGAAAUUCGUAGAUAUUCGGAAGAACACCAGUGGCGAAGGCGACUACCUGGCACGGCAUUGACGCUCAUGUGCGAAAGCGUGGGGAGCAAA